This 301-nucleotide ribosomal RNA is filed under the name uncultured bacterium. RNAcentral's name for it is "partial 16S ribosomal RNA". It matches the Rfam family "Bacterial small subunit ribosomal RNA", at positions 509 to 807 of the family's 1533-position model. The record is from RNAcentral.
CAGUAGCCGCGGUAAUACCGAGGGUGCGAGCGUUAAUCGGAUUUACUGGGCGUAAAGCGUGCGUAGGCGGCUUUUUAAGUCGGAUGUGAAAUCCCUGAGCUUAACUUAGGAAUUGCAUUCGAUACUGGUAAGCUAGAGUAUGGGAGAGGAUGGUAGAAUUCCAGGUGUAGCGGUGAAAUGCGUAGAGAUCUGGAGGAAUACCGAUGGCGAAGGCAGCCAUCUGGCCUAAUACUGACGCUGAGGUACGAAAGCAUGGGGAGCAAACAGGAUUAGAUACCCGAGUAGUCCCUGUCUCUUAUAC